RNAcentral lists this ribosomal RNA (446 nucleotides) under uncultured bacterium. RNAcentral describes it as "bacterial SSU rRNA". It matches the Rfam family "Bacterial small subunit ribosomal RNA", at positions 330 to 793 of the family's 1533-position model. The record is from RNAcentral.
ACCAGACUCCUACGGGAGGCAGCAGUGGGGAAUAUUGCACAAUGGGGGAAACCCUGAUGCAGCGACGCCGCGUGAGUGAAGAAGUAUUUCGGUAUGUAAAGCUCUAUCAGCAGGGAAGAAAAUGACGGUACCUGACUAAGAAGCCCCGGCUAACUACGUGCCAGCAGCCGCGGUAAUACGUAGGGGGCAAGCGUUAUCCGGAUUUACUGGGUGUAAAGGGAGCGUAGACGGUGAUGCAAGUCAGAAGUGAAAGCCCGCGGCUCAACUGCGGGACUGCUUUUGAAACUGUAUAACUAGAGUGCAGGAGAGGUAAGCGGAAUUCCUAGUGUAGCGGUGAAAUGCGUAGAUAUUAGGAGGAACACCAGUGGCGAAGGCGGCUUACUGGACUGUAACUGACGUUGAGGCUCGAAAGCGUGGGGAGCAAACAGGAUUAGAUACCCUGGUAA